RNAcentral lists this long non-coding RNA (660 nucleotides) under Chinchilla lanigera (long-tailed chinchilla). RNAcentral's name for it is "lncRNA (ENSCLAG00000027972.1)". The record is from RNAcentral. Lineage: Eukaryota; Metazoa; Chordata; Mammalia; Rodentia; Chinchillidae.
UAAAAGGAGGGAAACAUUAACAGACAUACAACAUUUUACAACAUAUCACAAGCACAAUACAGACAAUAGGGACUUUAGUUUUGAUCAGUUGAAGGAUACAAAUGUCAAUGUGUGGGAAAUUUUUCUUAAAACUUGUUCAUGUAUUAUUUUGAUCCAUUUUCUGUGGCAUUUGUUGCAAUAAACCUCUGGAAUUUAUCUUGAAAAAAACCUCAAAAUUCCAUUUAUGUACUAUUUGGAAAAACACAGACCUACAAAAAUGGUAAACAGAUGACUAGGUAGUUGUCAGUGGUUUUCAAAGGAGGAAAAAGGGUUGAAUAGGUGCUACACAGUAGAUUUUUAUGAUGGUAAAACUAUUCUGUAUGAUACUAUAAUGGUCGAUAUACAACAUUUUUCAAACCCCAUGAAAUAUUAUACCACAUAGGGUAAAUUUUUAUGUAUACCAAUUUUUCAAAAAUAUUUAAGAAGUCACCAUAGGAUCAACCUCUGGAUGAGAUGCAGAACUUGAAAAAAGCCUCUGAUUAUAUUAUAAGAAAAAAACAACUUCACUAAGUGGGUGUGCAGAAAAGGACUGUCCUAAGUAGCUUGGGAAUCAUAGACUAUAUAAGGGUAAACGUAAAAGGAAUUCUAUAGAACCAUGUAUUAAACAUUUGAAAUUCUCCA